UAGAAAGUAAUUAAGGGCGCAUGGCGGAUGCCUUGGCUCAUGGAGGCGAUGAAGGACGUGAUAAGCUGCGAUAAGCUGCGGGUAGGUGUAAAUAACCUUUGAUCCGCGGAUUUCCGAAUGGGACAACCCAAUUACCAUAAGGUAAUUAUCAUAUAUAUGAUAUAUGAGGCGAACCGAGGGAACUGAAACAUCUUAGUACCUCGAGGAAGAGAAAAUAAACUAAUGAUUCCCCUAGUAGUGGCGAGCGAACGGGGAUUAGCCCAAACCAAUGUUGUAUUCUGCAAUGUUGGGGUUGUAGGACUACGUUGUUGUACUUGAAUUGCGAGAAGAAUAUUCUGGAAAGUUUAGCCAUAGCAGGUGAAAGCCCUUUAUUCCUGUCUCUUAUACACAUCUCCGAGCCCACGAGACUCA
Molecule: ribosomal RNA, 411 nt
Filed under: Hoylesella nanceiensis
Lineage: Bacteria; Pseudomonadati; Bacteroidota; Bacteroidia; Bacteroidales; Prevotellaceae
Description: partial 23S ribosomal RNA
Rfam family: Bacterial large subunit ribosomal RNA
Source: RNAcentral